AAUGAUACCGAGUGCAAUUGUGCUUACCCAGAACGCGUAGGGAAUUCAGUAAUCCCAAGUGUGUGUUCUCAGUGGAUUGCUUAGAUUCUGCUUCAGAACAAGACAUUCCCACCUCUGGGGCAUUGAACCACAUCAUCCUGGCUGCAUUGAAAAAAAAAAAUCAACAACUUUCAGCAACUUCCAAGCUUCUGUUUCACUGUGUUUUGGUGAUCUUGCAAGCUAGCAGUUAAACUUGGCCAUCUUCUACCCACUCCAAGUAUUUGAGAGAGAUCAUUCGAAACGACCUCCAUCCUCGGAAUGGUUGUGCUGCUAUCAGAUGGCCUUCAAGUGCCCGGGAAAGGGCACCGUUUUACAUAUUGUCUCAUCGGAGCAGAGGGAGUAAAGAAUAAGCUAUGUGAGUUCUUUUCUGGGCUCCUCAUUUUAUGAUUUCAUAGGUAAUAAAGCUCUGAUUUUUCUUGUGUUCAGUUG
This 468-nucleotide long non-coding RNA is filed under the name Rattus norvegicus (Norway rat). RNAcentral's name for it is "long non-coding RNA NONRATT004748". Lineage: Eukaryota; Metazoa; Chordata; Mammalia; Rodentia; Muridae. The record is from RNAcentral.